AUACGGAGGGUGCAAGCGUUGUUCGGAAUUACUGGGCGUAAAGCGCGUGCAGGUGGUUCGGCAAGUCGGGUGUGAAAUCCCCGGGCUCAACCCGGGAACUGCAUCCGAAACUUCCGAGCUAGAGUCCCGGAGAGGAAGGCAGAAUUCCCAAUGUAGGGGUGAAAUCCGUAGAUAUUGGGAGGAAUACCAGUUGCGAAGGCGGCCUUCUGGACGGUGACUGACACUCAGACGCGAAAGCGUGGGGAGCAAACAGGAUUAGAAACCCCAGUAGUCC
Molecule: ribosomal RNA, 274 nt
Filed under: uncultured bacterium
Lineage: Bacteria
Description: partial 16S ribosomal RNA
Rfam family: Bacterial small subunit ribosomal RNA
Source: RNAcentral